This 653-nucleotide ribosomal RNA is filed under the name uncultured Sebacinales. Its description in RNAcentral is "eukaryotic LSU rRNA". The stretch from base 208 to 361 matches the Rfam family "5.8S ribosomal RNA". The record is from RNAcentral. Lineage: Eukaryota; Fungi; Basidiomycota; Agaricomycetes; Sebacinales.
AACUCGGCCAUUUAGAGGAAGUAAAAGUCGUAACAAGGUCUCCGUUGGUGAACCAGUGGAGGGAUCAUUACCGAGUUUUCAACUCCCAAACCCCUGUGAACAUACCAUUUUGUUGCCUCGGCGGUGCCUGUUCCGACAGCCCGCCAGAGGACCCCAAACCCAAACUUCCUUGAGUGAGUCUUCUGAGUAACCGAUUAAAUCAAUCAAAACUUUCAACAACGGAUCUCUUGGUUCUGGCAUCGAUGAAGAACGCAGCGAAAUGCGAUAAGUAAUGUGAAUUGCAGAAUUCAGUGAAUCAUCGAAUCUUUGAACGCACCUUGCACCCUUUGGUAUUCCGAAGGGUACGCCCGUUUGAGUGUCAUUGUAAUCUCACCUCUGCGACUUUUGUUGUGUGAAGUGGACUUGGGCAGUGUCGUGUAAUGACGACUGGCCUGAAAUGCAUGAGUGUACCCUGCUGUCACAGCGUAUUCAGUGUGAUAAACAUCUUCACUGAUUCAAGUUCCUUUGGGACACGCAAGCGAUGUGGGCUCUGCGCUGCCAACCGUCUUUGGACAGCCUUGACAAUUUGACCUCAAAUCGGGUGGGACUACCCGCUGAACUUAAGCAUAUCAAUAAGCGGAGGAAAAGAAACUAACAAGGAUUCCCCUAGUAAC